Molecule: small nucleolar RNA, 159 nt
Organism: Phragmites australis (common reed)
Lineage: Eukaryota; Viridiplantae; Streptophyta; Magnoliopsida; Poales; Poaceae
Product: small nucleolar RNA snoR143
Exons: 1
Source: RefSeq, a predicted model, not a curated record
CUGUAUUCUUUAUGUCCUGCUUUCUUAUGAUUGCUGGGUGUUAAAACUGGUGCACAGAGGAAAUGCUGCUCUUGAAGUAAUGGCGACCAGACAACCGUUGAGAGAUGGAUCCACAGAUGAACAAUCUUUCUGUUUGACUGCUAAUUCUAUCUCAUAUUC